UAAAGGUGAGAACAUGGUAACGUGCAGAAAAAUUGAUUUGGGGCUCCAGGCCUCUCCUCUCUGAUCCCUUUCGGCUUUGAUUUGGGGGCAUGGUUCUGCAGCAAAACG
Molecule: small nucleolar RNA, 108 nt
Organism: Rhododendron vialii
Lineage: Eukaryota; Viridiplantae; Streptophyta; Magnoliopsida; Ericales; Ericaceae
Product: small nucleolar RNA snoR100
Exons: 1
Source: RefSeq, a predicted model, not a curated record